RNAcentral lists this ribosomal RNA (378 nucleotides) under Strombidium sp. RNAcentral's name for it is "SSU rRNA". It matches the Rfam family "Eukaryotic small subunit ribosomal RNA", at positions 587 to 975 of the family's 1831-position model. Lineage: Eukaryota; Ciliophora; Spirotrichea; Strombidiidae. The record is from RNAcentral.
AGCUCCAAUAGCGUAUAUUAAAGUUGUUGCAGUUAAAAAGCUCGUAGUUGGAUUUCUGGGAGGGUGCCAAUGUCCGUCGUCGUACGUGUUGCAGCGGCGCCCUUCCAUCCUUCUGUUAACGACUUUGGGCAUUCAUUUGCCGGAGUCGGGCUCAGAUAUUUUACCUUGAGAAAAUUAGAGUGUUUCAGGCAGGCUAGGCCGGAAUACAUUAGCAUGGAAUAAUGGAAUAGGACUACGGUCUCUUUGUUGGUUUGAGGGACUGCAGUAAUGAUUAAUAGGGAUAGUUGGGGGCAUUAGUAUUUAAUUGUCAGAGGUGGAAUUCUCGGAUUUGUUAAAGACUAACUUAUGCGAAAGCAUUUGCCAAGGAUGUUUUCAUUA